UGGGGAAUAUUGCACAAUGGGGGAAACCCUGAUGCAGCGACGCCGCGUGAGCGAUGAAGUAUUUCGGUAUGUAAAGCUCUAUCAGCAGGGAAGAAAGUGACGGUACCUGACUAAGAAGCCCCGGCUAACUACGUGCCAGCAGCCGCGGUAAUACGGAGGGGGCUAGCGUUGUUCGGAAUUACUGGGCGUAAAGCGCACGUAGGCGGCGAUUUAAGUCAGAGGUGAAAGCCCGGGGCUCAACCCCGGAAUAGCCUUUGAGACUGGAUUGCUUGAACAUCGGAGAGGUGAGUGGAAUUCCGAGUGUAGAGGUGAAAUUUCGUAGAUAUUCGGAAGAACACCAGUGGCGAAGGCGGCUCACUGGACGAUCGUUGACGCUGAGGUGCGAAAGCGUGGGUAUCAAACAGGAUUAGAUACCC
RNAcentral lists this ribosomal RNA (416 nucleotides) under uncultured bacterium. RNAcentral describes it as "bacterial SSU rRNA". It matches the Rfam family "Bacterial small subunit ribosomal RNA", at positions 355 to 787 of the family's 1533-position model. The record is from RNAcentral.